This is a long non-coding RNA of Clarias gariepinus (North African catfish), 3392 nucleotides long. RefSeq lists it as uncharacterized. The record is from RefSeq and is a predicted model, not a curated record. Lineage: Eukaryota; Metazoa; Chordata; Actinopteri; Siluriformes; Clariidae. The transcript is spliced from 3 exons.
AAGUGUUCAUGGGAAGUCUGGUGUAACAUCAGAGACAAGAAGGCUGUGAGGAUGUGAGAAUGGACAUGAAGCACCUGGAACAUUCUGGAACAUUCCUUACAAAUCCUGGUGAGUAAACAGCUAACACAAGUUACUGUAAUAAUGACUCUGUCUGCCUGCACACACAACUUUAUAGUGUGUGAGUUACUGUUCUGAAUCCUGUCACAGCCGAGCUCCAGAGCUAACGAUAGCUAGCAACAGGCCAGUCCUGGGGUUCAGUGUGAUUUAGCUUGUUUGUUCCAACCACCAAACUGCUCAGCUAAAGCGCGUUUAAUACAGACACUUAAACUCUGGUGUAAAAGGAGAGAUUUAACACCGAGCAGCAGCGCGUGCAUGUCCGGGUUUCUCGGUGUAACCGGCGGCGGUUGUGCCGCAAUAUUUGAAUUUCUCCCGCCAAAUGCGGUGAUUUUGUGCAGCCUACCGCCACUGUGGAGAGGAUAUAAAACUAACAUGUUUAAAUAAUUACCGCAUGUGUAACAUUACACACCUCACACACUGAACCGCGAGUCUGCUCGGUCACUCCGACACUUUAAGGAAGAAACUCAGAACAAAUCCGGUUUAAACAGCAGAAAUGAGCACCAACACCACUAAUGAAGAGAAGUUGAAUAGAGAUAAAACAGGAGGUGCCAGCAUUAUGGGAUGGCGGUGUAAACUAUGUGCAUUUGUCGCAUCAUCAAAAGGAAUUUCGAUCAUUAUCGAGUGAAGCAUGGUGCUGUUGGCGAUGGAUAUUUAGUGUCCUGUGUUCAUUUAGACGGUCAUUGCUUCUUUGAGGCGGUCAAUUGAACAUUUAAACAUUCUUCCCAGUUAAAACUGCUAACUCAGCAUAAAAUCAUCCUAAACUCCAGGAUUUACACCAGAUGAAUGAUACAUUACUAUGAUUUCUUUUUUCAGUUAAAUUAUUCUAUAAGUAGAGUAAGCAUCAACUAUUAACUCGACUUUAGUUCUGCUGCCAUGUUGAGGAACAUAAACAUUUCUCUGAUUGAUUUGUGAUGUCAUGAACAACUUUUAGGUUUGUUCUUAUCUUGAUUGGUAAUGAUAUGCAGAAGGAUUUACAUUUACACAACAUGUUAAAGGUAAGUAAGGAGGCCUGGUCAUGUGACAAGGAAUUGAAUUAUUAUAAUGAGCCCAGGUCACAUGACCACGCACGGCCGUUAAAAACCUUUGUGAAAAAGUUGCCUAUUACACAAUAUACAAAUCUAUCUACAGAUAGAAAGUAAACAUUUGAAUUAAACAUUCAGCCAUUUAAAAAAUUCAACAUUGAUUUUAAGGUAAAACAUAAGCUGAAAUAUCUUUAAAUCCAUCCACACAUUAAACAAAGUAAAUGUAUGUGUGUGUUUUUAAAAGUCUUCACACUACAGCACAAUGAUGAUCAUUUAAUUCCAUAACUUCGGAUGUUUGUGUCCAUCAGGAUGUAUCGCUAAAGAAUCAAAUCAUUAAUACAAGUUGUAACGCGUCAUCUACAGAAUACAUAAUAUUCAUUAGUCAAUUAGGCACCACUUGAUGGCGCUAUGUACAUCAUUUACUUACAGUAGGUGUCUCAGCUGUGUCUCAUUCUAACAGACUAUCAGUUGUUCAAACUGGAACAUGUUUGCUAACACAUCAGUUAUAAAAAUGUAUUUUUUUAACGUAAUAAUUACAAUAUGUGUUUUGUCUUUCCCUUAAAACUUUGUUUUAUGUAGUCAAUCUGUCUCCACCGUUCACAAUUUUUCUAAUACAAAAUGGGUGUUCAAGUCGAAGUGAGACUUUUACUCCAAAUCCCUAUAUUUCUCUAUAUAAUCUCCUGCUACAUCAAUGCACCUUUCCCAGCGCUUCACUGAUGCUUAGACACCAUCAAAGUCAUGAUUGAAACGCUGGCCUCCCAGGAACUCCUUAGCAACCGAAACAUCUUCAAACGGCGUGGGUGAUGUUAAUGAAUGCUUGUGUGCACAGUUCCCACAGCAAUAUGCAUCUCUUCCACAAGUUGGCAGCAUUGGUUUUCAAGGAUCAGGUGUUCCAAUCACUCAUCGUUCACAGGAAUGACUGCAGUGGGCUUUGAGUUACCUUGGGCAGGAUCGUUAUUCACAGACAUACAGUAUAAAGUAUUUGCAUCAUUCAAAUGUUUUACUGCAGCUGUGAGUCUCAUCAUCCUUAAGUACUGUGCUUAAGGACGUCUUUAAAUGUCAACCCUUUUAGGUUUUAAUUCACUAGAAAGUUAUAUGUACAGUAUAUGUGUCUCUGUGAAAGCAGCAUGGAAGGGUUAAAUACACAGUUGAUCUGUUAGUUUCUCUUUCUACCAUCGCUGUGGUUGUUGUCAGGACCUGUGUCUCAGAUUGUGUUCCACGAGUUUUGUCAUCCUAUAGAUGAAAAAUGAAGAUGUUCCCCUUCAAAGACAUUGAAGGGGAACUGGUUAAGGUUAGAAUGCCCCUUAAGAAUGUGACUUGAAAUAGUCUCUGAUGUCACCAUGUCACUUCACAUCAUGCUGCUUAAUGCCAAUUACAGUAUGUUGGUAAAAGUAAGUAUAAUCCUGGCCUAACACAGUUUUGUAAUGACUUGUUCUCUGAUGCUUGUGGCAAGGUUCGCCCCUUGAAAGCAUUUAAACUGUUCCUGGAACUGUGUUUAAGGAAAUUAAAUCAAUCUCGUUUUUUUGGGUCAUUCAAUAAAAAUUCCUAAAAAAGUUAAUGGGGUUCUUGAUAAGGUUCCAACAGCAGAAGCAUGCACCAUGACAGGCCAGUGAUACUGUAUGUUCUUGUUGCGUAUGUAAGAAUGCCUUGAAAGAAGUACAGCAAAUAGGAAGCACAGUAAUCGGCUUAACUACUGAGGACCUGAUGAUUGUCUUAUCAUUCUUCAUCUAAAAACAAAAAGCUGUACAAAAGUGUGUGUUCUGGUUUCUACACCAAAAGGUUUAGAUUUUCUCAUCCCUGCAUGGCAAGUGUAUGUGUGUGUUUAGGUAAAAACGGAGUGGCUUAGGGAAUGCUUGUUGAUUGGCUGGACAUAUUCAGGGACAGGGGAUUAAAGGAUUUUCAGCACACAGAGAGAGAGAGAGAGCGCAAGUGAGGAGGGACAAGAGGAACAAUUCGGUUCUGAAAGCACGUUGUAGAAACUGCCUUAGAAGAGGACGAAAGGACAAAGCAAGAGAAGACAAUGGGACAUGUGAUCUAGAGACUUUUGGAUGCCAAGAAUGAAUGAUAAGAAGGAAGGAGACAGAUGGGAAACUGAUAGACAAAGAAAAACAGAUUUGCCACUGAACUCUAACCUUUAAUCUGAUCCUUUCAAGACAAAAACAGUAGAGUGUGCAGGUAGAUGUUAGCAAUUAAAGUGUGAACAUUAGCAUCUCACUUUGCAUGUGUGUAUUUGUGGUGCGUGUGUGUGUUGUG